GGGCGAGUAGCUCAGUUGGUUAGAGCGCGCGCUUGAUAAGCGUGAGGUCGCAGGUUCAAAUCCCGCCUUGCCCACCA
Molecule: transfer RNA, 77 nt
Filed under: marine bacterium B5-7
Lineage: Bacteria; Pseudomonadati; Pseudomonadota; Gammaproteobacteria
Description: tRNA-Ile
Rfam family: tRNA
About the family: Transfer RNA (tRNA) molecules are approximately 80 nucleotides in length. Their secondary structure includes four short double-helical elements and three loops (D, anti-codon, and T loops). Further hydrogen bonds mediate the characteristic L-shaped molecular structure. tRNAs have two regions of fundamental functional importance: the anti-codon, which is responsible for specific mRNA codon recognition, and the 3' end, to which the tRNAs corresponding amino acid is attached (by aminoacyl-tRNA synthetases). tRNAs cope with the degeneracy of the genetic code in two manners: having more than one tRNA (with a specific anti-codon) for a particular amino acid; and 'wobble' base-pairing, i.e. permitting non-standard base-pairing at the 3rd anti-codon position.
Source: RNAcentral